RNAcentral lists this ribosomal RNA (376 nucleotides) under uncultured organism. Its description in RNAcentral is "partial 16S ribosomal RNA". It matches the Rfam family "Bacterial small subunit ribosomal RNA", at positions 527 to 896 of the family's 1533-position model. The record is from RNAcentral.
GGAGGAGGCAAGCGUUGUCCGGAAUCAUUGGGCGUAAAGAGCGCGUAGGCUGUUUUUCAAGUCAUUUGUGAAAACCUCAGGCUUAACUUGAGGACUGCAUAUGAAACUGGAAAACUUGAGUGCAGUAGGGGAAAGUGGAAUUCCUGGUGUAGCGGUGAAAUGCGCAGAUAUCAGGAAGAACACCGGUAGCGAAGGCGGCUUUCUGGGCUGCUACUGACGCUGAGGCGCGAAAGCUAGGGGGGGAGCAAACAGGAUUAGAUACCCUGGUAGUCCUAGCUGUAAACGAUGGACACUAGGUGUGGGGAGUUAUCGACGCUUUCCGUGCCGGAGCUAACGCAUUAAGUGUCCCCGCCUGGGGAGUACGGUCGCAAGACUA